This 449-nucleotide ribosomal RNA is filed under the name uncultured bacterium. Its description in RNAcentral is "bacterial SSU rRNA". It matches the Rfam family "Bacterial small subunit ribosomal RNA", at positions 328 to 792 of the family's 1533-position model. The record is from RNAcentral.
CGGCCAGACUCCUACGGGAGGCAGCAGUGGGGAAUAUUGGGCAAUGGGCGCAAGCCUGACCCAGCAACGCCGCGUGAAGGAAGAAGGCUUUCGGGUUGUAAACUUCUUUUAAGAGGGAAGAGUAGAAGACAGUACCUCUUGAAUAAGCCACGGCUAACUACGUGCCAGCAGCCGCGGUAAUACGUAGGUGGCAAGCGUUGUCCGGAUUUACUGGGUGUAAAGGGGGCGCAGACGGCGAUGCAAGCCAGGAGUGAAAGCCCGGGGCCCAACCCCGGGACUGCUCUUGGAACUGCGUGGCUGGAGUGCAGGAGGGGCAGGCGGAAUUCCUGGUGUAGCGGUGAAAUGCGUAGAUAUCAGGAGGAACACCGGUGGCGAAGGCGGCCUGCUGGACUGCAACUGACGUUGAGGCCCGAAAGCGUGGGGAGCAAACAGGAUUAGAUACCCGAGUA